This is a long non-coding RNA of Phyllostomus hastatus (greater spear-nosed bat), 1117 nucleotides long. RefSeq lists it as uncharacterized. The transcript has 5 exons. Lineage: Eukaryota; Metazoa; Chordata; Mammalia; Chiroptera; Phyllostomidae. The record is from RefSeq and is a predicted model, not a curated record.
ACUCGUGGCGUGAGCAGAAUACAGUGACCCUGUAAGGCACUUUGUCCGUUCAUCAAGGCACCACAUUUUCUGGGCCGAACAAUGCACACUUCGCGCCUGGCGAAGCUCCUGCGUGCUGGGGAUCCCGAGGACCAUGAGCGGUUACUGCCCACUCCCUGCGGCGUUCCCAGCCCCGGGCAACCACAGAUCUACCUCUGUCCCUAAGGAUUUACCGAUGCUGGACCUUCCUUAUAAAUGGAAUGAUCCAACAGACUUGAAGUAAUUCAAACGAGGAACCACAACAACUUAAAUCCACGCCCAGCUUUGCCACUUAAAACCAGUGUCGUUAAGUAAGUCACCAUGCUGGCUGCAGCCUCGGUGUCUUCCAGGAUGAAGGGAGACGGUAUGCCUGCUCAGGUGCCUCGGCAGGACCGCUGCAUUAGGCGCACAGUCGCUGGUGUUGAUACUGAAAGGUCACGGGGUCUCUUCCCGGAGGAGGGUGACAAUACAGAAGUUUACCCUGUAAAGACCACAUGAACGGUAGCAGUGCAUCAUAAGUGCCACCUGUGCCAUUCCAGGACAGAGAAGCAGUCCUCAGACAAGGCCCCCCACCAAGCACCCUCAACAGGCUUCCCGCUUUCGGUGACCAGCUGAGCGGAGCUGGCGGACUGCAGCUGAAGAGCCCAUUAAACUGAUGGCGGGCCUUGGUGUUCCAGAGGCCGAGCCUCCUGCCACAGCCGCCAUCUCUCCUCUUUUGUGCUCCUUUUUGCCUCAUUUGCACUUCCACUGAAGCAUUCCUCGGCACGCUUCUAUGACCACAUUUACGAUGUGCAUCUUCUAAAGCAAAGACCAGGUCACAACUAGAGAGUGUGGCUGCGCUAACGGGGAUGCGGGGCCAGCGGCAGCUGUUCGCUGGGGCAGACCUCCCUCGUUCCACCAUAGACACUCCAAACACUGUGACUGUUUCUAAUGGGCCCUCCCAUCCUCCAGGUCUAUAGACGGUCGUCAUUUCCUAAACUCAUACCAUGGAGAAAGAAGACCUAAUUAUUCAAGAGCGACAAAAAGCAGGGCUCACUCACGCUGACGUAAUCCUUCAGGACGUAGCGUGCAGACCUCGGCUGGUCCGGCUGCCCGUGCG